GACGAACGCUGGCGGCGUGCCUAAUACAUGCAAGUAGAACGCUGAAGUGAGGAGCUUGCUCUUCUUGGAUGAGUUGCGAACGGGUGAGUAACGCGUAGGUAACCUGCCUUGUAGCGGGGGAUAACUAUUGGAAACGAUAGCUAAUACCGCAUAACAAUGGAUGACACAUGUCAUUUAUUUGAAAGGGGCAAUUGCUCCACUACAAGAUGGACCUGCGUUGUAUUAGCUAGUAGGUGAGGUAACGGCUCACCUAGGCGACGAUACAUAGCCGACCUGAGAGGGUGCUCGGCCACGCUGGGACUGAGACACGGCCCAGACUCCUACGGGAGGGAGCCGUAGCGGAUCUUCGGCAAUGGGGGCAACCCGGAACGAGCAACGCCGCGUGAGUGAAGAAGGUUUUCGGAUCGUAAAGAUCUGUUGUAAGUCAAGAACGAGUGUGAGAGUGGAAAGUUCACACUGUGACGGUAGCUUACCAGAAAGGGACGGCUAACUACGUG
Molecule: ribosomal RNA, 497 nt
Filed under: uncultured bacterium
Lineage: Bacteria
Description: partial 16S ribosomal RNA
Rfam family: Bacterial small subunit ribosomal RNA
Source: RNAcentral